Long non-coding RNA from Erpetoichthys calabaricus (reedfish), 179 nucleotides. RefSeq lists it as uncharacterized. The transcript is spliced from 2 exons. The record is from RefSeq and is a predicted model, not a curated record. NCBI's taxonomy places the organism in Eukaryota, Metazoa, Chordata, Cladistia, Polypteriformes, Polypteridae.
AAAAAAAAAUGUAGGCGUGAAGCACAUGCAGAGCAAGAUACAGAAUAUGAAAGCAGAAAAAAACGAUAAACAUCGCAUUAGCACAAAGAAAGAGAAAUUAUUACUUGGAGAAAUAACGAAAAGGUGAAUAGAGAUCGAAUAUAUGGACAUAGGUGAUAUGUCAGAAAUAUGUAAAUAUU